This 253-nucleotide ribosomal RNA is filed under the name uncultured bacterium. Its description in RNAcentral is "partial 16S ribosomal RNA". It matches the Rfam family "Bacterial small subunit ribosomal RNA", at positions 524 to 776 of the family's 1533-position model. The record is from RNAcentral.
UACGGGGGGAGCAAGCGUUGUUCGGAUUUAUUGGGCGUAAAGAGCGUGUAGGCGGCUUCACAGGUCCGCUGUGAAAACUCGAGGCUCAACCUCGAGCUGUCGGUGGAAACCGUGUGGCUAGAGUCCGGAAGAGGAGAGUGGAAUUCCCGGUGUAGCGGUGAAAUGCGCAGAUAUCGGGAAGAACACCCGUGGCGAAGGCGGCUCUCUGGGACGGUACUGACGCUGAGACGCGAAAGCGUGGGGAGCGAACAGG